Molecule: ribosomal RNA, 253 nt
Filed under: uncultured archaeon
Lineage: Archaea
Description: partial 16S ribosomal RNA
Rfam family: Archaeal small subunit ribosomal RNA
Source: RNAcentral
AACCAGCACCUCAAGUGGUCAGGAUGAUUAUUGGGCCUAAAGCAUCCGUAGCCGGCUCUGUAAGUUUUCGGUUAAAUCUGUACGCUCAACGUACAGGCUGCCGGGAAUACUGCAGAGCUAGGGAGUGGGAGAGGUAGACGGUACUCGGUAGGAAGGGGUAAAAUCCUUUGAUCUAUUGAUGACCACCUGUGGCGAAGGCGGUCUACCAGAACACGUCCGACGGUGAGGGAUGAAAGCUGGGGGAGCAAACAGG